RNAcentral lists this ribosomal RNA (615 nucleotides) under Bacillus sp. FJAT-4498. RNAcentral's name for it is "bacterial SSU rRNA". It matches the Rfam family "Bacterial small subunit ribosomal RNA", at positions 59 to 657 of the family's 1533-position model. Lineage: Bacteria; Bacillati; Bacillota; Bacilli; Caryophanales; Bacillaceae. The record is from RNAcentral.
CAGUCGAGCGAAUCGAUGGGAGCUUGCUCCCUGAGAUUAGCGGCGGACGGGUGAGUAACACGUGGGCAACCUGCCUAUAAGACUGGGAUAACUUCGGGAAACCGGAGCUAAUACCGGAUACGUUCUUUUCUCGCAUGAGAGAAGAUGGAAAGACGGUUUACGCUGUCACUUAUAGAUGGGCCCGCGGCGCAUUAGCUAGUUGGUGAGGUAAUGGCUCACCAAGGCGACGAUGCGUAGCCGACCUGAGAGGGUGAUCGGCCACACUGGGACUGAGACACGGCCCAGACUCCUACGGGAGGCAGCAGUAGGGAAUCUUCCGCAAUGGACGAAAGUCUGACGGAGCAACGCCGCGUGAACGAAGAAGGCCUUCGGGUCGUAAAGUUCUGUUGUUAGGGAAGAACAAGUACCAGAGUAACUGCUGGUACCUUGACGGUACCUAACCAGAAAGCCACGGCUAACUACGUGCCAGCAGCCGCGGUAAUACGUAGGUGGCAAGCGUUGUCCGGAAUUAUUGGGCGUAAAGCGCGCGCAGGUGGUUCCUUAAGUCUGAUGUGAAAGCCCACGGCUCAACCGUGGAGGGUCAUUGGAAACUGGGGAACUUGAGUGCAGAAGAGG